GAUGAACGCUGGCGGCGUGCCUAAUACAUGCAAGUCGAGCGAACAGAUAAGGAGCUUGCUCCUUUGACGUUAGCGGCGGACGGGUGAGUAACACGUGGGUAACCUACCUCUAAGACUGGAAUAACUCCGGGAAACCGGGGCUAAUGCCGGAUAACAUUUAGAACCGCAUGGUUCUAAAGUGAAAGAUGGUUUUGCUAUCACUUAUAGAUGGACACGCGUCGUAUUAGCUAGUUGGUAAGGUAACGGCUUACCAAGGCAACGAUACGUAGCCGACCUGAGAGCUAGAUCGGGUACAUUGGAGGUGAGGCAGGCUCCUCAGACCGACAGUAAGCAGCAGUAGGCAAUUGUCCGGAAUGGAGGAGAGCCGGACGGACCAACGCGGAGGGAAGGAUGAAGGUCUGCGGAUGGUAGAACUCUGUUAUUAGGUGAGAAGUAAUGUGUAAGUAGCUGUGCACGUCUUGACUGUACCUAAUGAGAAAGCCACGGCUAACUACGUG
Molecule: ribosomal RNA, 497 nt
Filed under: uncultured bacterium
Lineage: Bacteria
Description: partial 16S ribosomal RNA
Rfam family: Bacterial small subunit ribosomal RNA
Source: RNAcentral